RNAcentral lists this ribosomal RNA (624 nucleotides) under uncultured bacterium. RNAcentral describes it as "bacterial SSU rRNA". It matches the Rfam family "Bacterial small subunit ribosomal RNA", at positions 8 to 612 of the family's 1533-position model. The record is from RNAcentral.
AGAGUUUGAUCCUGGCUCAGAACGAACGUUAGCGGCGCGCCUAACACAUGCAAGUCGAGCGAGAAAGGGAGCAAUCCCCGGUACAGCGGCGCACGGGUGAGUAACACGUAGGUAACCAACCUCCGAGUGGUGGAUAACCUUCCGAAAGGAGGGCUAAUACAGCAUGAGCCCACGAGGUCGAGAGACCAUGAGGGAAAAGUCGGCCAAUCCAUGGAAGCUGGCGCUUGGAGACGGGCCUGCGGCCCAUCAGCUAGUUGGUGAGGUAAUGGCUCACCAAGGCUAAGACGGGUAGCUGGUCUGAGAGGAUGAUCAGCCACACUGGAACUGAGACACGGUCCAGACUCCUACGGGAGGCAGCAGUGGGGAAUCUUGCGCAAUGGGCGAAAGCCUGACGCAGCGACGCCGCGUGGGUGAUGAAGGCCUUCGGGUUGUAAAGCCCUGUGGAGGGGGACGAAUAAGGCAUGGCUAACAUCCAUGUUGAUGACGGUACCCCUUUAGCAAGCACCGGCUAACUCUGUGCCAGCAGCCGCGGUAAGACAGAGGGUGCAAACGUUGUUCGGAAUUACUGGGCGUAAAGCGCGUGUAGGCGGCCUUGCAAGUCGGAUGUGAAAGCCCUGGGCUCAA